Molecule: ribosomal RNA, 496 nt
Filed under: uncultured bacterium
Lineage: Bacteria
Description: partial 16S ribosomal RNA
Rfam family: Bacterial small subunit ribosomal RNA
Source: RNAcentral
GAUGAACGCUGGCGGCGUGCCUAAUACAUGCAAGUCGAGCGAACAGACGAGGAGCUUGCUCCUCUGACGUUAGCGGCGGACGGGUGAGUAACACGUGGAUAACCUACCUAUAAGACUGGGAUAACUUCGGGAAACCGGAGCUAAUACCGGAUAAUAUAUUGAACCGCAUGGUUCAAUAGUGAAAGACGGUUUUGCUGUCACUUAUAGGUGGAUCCGCGCCGCAUUAGCUAGUUGGUAAGGUAACGGCUUACCAAGGCAACGAUGCGUAGCCGACCUGAGAGGGUGAUCGGCCACACUGGAACUGAGACACGGCCCAGACUCCUACGGGAGGCAGCAGUAGGGAAUCUUCCGCAAUGGGCGAAAGCUUGACGGAGCAACGCCGCGUGAGUGAUGAAGGUCUUCGGCUCGUAAAACUCUGUUAUGAGGGAAGAACAAAUGUGUAAGUAACUAUGCACGUCUUGACGGUACCUAAUCAGAAAGCCACGGCUAACUACGU